This 121-nucleotide transfer RNA is filed under the name Achromobacter xylosoxidans. Its description in RNAcentral is "tRNA-OTHER". It matches the Rfam family "tRNA". From Rfam's summary of the family: Transfer RNA (tRNA) molecules are approximately 80 nucleotides in length. Lineage: Bacteria; Pseudomonadati; Pseudomonadota; Betaproteobacteria; Burkholderiales; Alcaligenaceae. The record is from RNAcentral.
GGGUCGGUAGCUCAGUGGACAGAGCGCCCGGCGUCCCGGAGGUUCGGCAAUGCCAACGGGUCGCGCCCCAGACGCAUCCGAAGGCAGGCAUGCCUCGCUGGUUCGAAUCCAGCCCGACCCG